AAUUCUCUCAGAUCGAGCUAAUGAGCUCAU
RNAcentral lists this small RNA (30 nucleotides) under Bombyx mori (domestic silkworm). RNAcentral's name for it is "ovarian small RNA-10879". The record is from RNAcentral. Lineage: Eukaryota; Metazoa; Arthropoda; Insecta; Lepidoptera; Bombycidae.